UACGAAGGGGGCUAGCGUUGCUCGGAAUUACUGGGCGUAAAGGGCGCGUAGGCGGCACUGUUAGUCAGGCGUGAAAUUCCUGGGCUCAACCUGGGGGCUGCAUUUGAUACGUAUGGGCUUGAGUGGGGAAGAGGGUCGUGGAAUUCCCAGUGUAGAGGUGAAAUUCGUAGAUAUUGGGAAGAACACCGGUGGCGAAGGCGGCGACCUGGUCCUUUUACUGACGCUGAGGCGCGAAAGCGUGGGGAGCAAACAGG
This 254-nucleotide ribosomal RNA is filed under the name uncultured bacterium. RNAcentral's name for it is "partial 16S ribosomal RNA". It matches the Rfam family "Bacterial small subunit ribosomal RNA", at positions 524 to 776 of the family's 1533-position model. The record is from RNAcentral.